UCCCUAGUGGUCUAGUGGUUAGGAUUAGGCACUUUUAUUGCUGUGGCCCAGGUUCAAUCCCUGGUCAGGGAA
Molecule: non-coding RNA, 72 nt
Organism: Balaenoptera ricei (Rice's whale)
Lineage: Eukaryota; Metazoa; Chordata; Mammalia; Artiodactyla; Balaenopteridae
Source: the annotation of a RefSeq genome assembly